UACGGAGGAUCCAAGCGUUAUCCGGAUUCACUGGGUGUAAAGGGAGCGUAGACGGCCAAGCAAGCCAGGGGUGAAAGCCCGGGGCCCAACCCCGGGACUGCCCUUGGAACUGCAUGGCUGGAGUGCGGGAGGGGCAGGCGGAAUUCCUGGUGUAGCGGUGAAAUGCGUAGAUAUCAGGAGGAACACCGGCGGCGAAGGCGGCCUGCUGGAUCGCGACUGACGUUGAGGCUCGAAAGCGUGGGGAGCGAACAGG
RNAcentral lists this ribosomal RNA (253 nucleotides) under uncultured bacterium. RNAcentral's name for it is "partial 16S ribosomal RNA". It matches the Rfam family "Bacterial small subunit ribosomal RNA", at positions 524 to 776 of the family's 1533-position model. The record is from RNAcentral.